GAAAAGUUUUCCUUGAAGAAGGCCACAGGCUCAGCUAAGCAACUGAUCACAGUCUAUGGAAGUGAGGCGUUUUUUCUGUUGAGGGGGCAGGAGAGGCAAUUUAGUUCUUAGUUCUUUGCCAUAAAUAACGGAUUAAAAAGCUUAGCCGAUGCUAUAAAUUAAAAAUGUGAAACUAAUUAUGCCAGCCCCAUAAAAGUGAAACAAUCAAUUCAUAACCCAAGUAUGUGAUGUGACAGCAUCUACUGGGUAUGACAGCUCAAGAGUAGCAGAGGGGACCCAGGAAUCCUACCCAAAGCUGUCCUCCAGCCCAGAACCACAGGCCCGCUCCUGUGUGGCAAGGCAUAAAGGCAGUAGCUCUGUUUUGUUCUCUACCCAUUUUUUUUUUUCAUGACAACAGUUCCAUCCUUUCUCCACCCCUUCCAUGCAGGCCCGUUCCUCAAAGGCGAGGCUCACCCAUACCAACAAGCACAGCUGCACUUUUGCCAAUUCAAACCAGAUGGGUCUGGAAGGCAGCUGCUGCCAAGGCUAUAAUUCAACCGGGAAUUCCUAAAUGUUUCAACCAGCCAUUUAAUAAUGUUCUAGCUGCAGUUUUCUCCCUUCUAAAUACGUGAGUGAGGCCAACUUGCCUGGACCCUGCAGUUUCAGAAGAGUUCUCGGGCUUGCUCAAUGGAUUGUUUCCUUCUGUUUUACACGGACGCAGACUCUACAUAUCAUAAGCCGCCUGCGGUUUCUCCACCCCCAGCUUGUCCUCUCCCUGGUGUGGUGGAAUGAAUCACUGUUCGCAAUUCUUCAUGCCCGCUGUGUCUGAGAAUUAUACAUCCACAGCUUUUGUCUUGUGAUUUUGUGGUUCUUCCCAUUAGAGGGACAGAGACUUUCCUCAUUGCAUUGGUGUGUGGCUCAGCUGUGUGACUUGGUGUGGUUAAUGCAACGUGUGUGUGUGUGUGUGUGUGUGUGUCCGUGUGUUGGCUGGUUCUAGACUGAGACCUCAAGAGGCAAAGCAUCUUUCUGUCUGUGCUUAUACUUGUAUAGUGACUGGUCUGAGAAGGAUGAGCGUACAGUUGACUUGAAUCCAUCUUGCAAUCUGGAGUCUAGCUCACCUGAUCCCAGCUGAGUACAGUAGAGCCAAAGCAGGUCUAAAGACACACAGGGGAAAAGAAAUGCUUGCUGUUUUAAGAUACUCAGUUUGGGGAAAGUUUGUUAUGCAGCAUUAUUGUGGCAACUGCUGACUGAUGCACUUGCUACCUCAAUUAUCUUUCCUAAACUGCCAUGGAAUUGUUUGUCCCUUGCUGUAUAGUUUCUGGCUACUUUUGGGACAAAUCCUAACUCUUUACCAUAUAAUUCAAGGUUCCUACCAACCCAUCUCUAGCUUAAGGGUCAGUUUCUCUGCAAAAACUUCCUCAACUGAAUCGAUUUCCCUUCUGUGGGUUUCCAGAGCGUGCUGGUGAUCUACCGCAUCAGAACUUCUUAUAUUGGAUAUGUCUCUUGUGAGAUCUGACUCCCUCAAAAGCCUAUGGACUCCAGAGUCAAGAGUCAGCCUGUUCAUCUUUGGAGCCUCAACACUAGACUACGGUAAACAGGUUGGACUUACGUAGUAAUGAUUAUGGCCUGCCUGAUUUUGAUAGGAAACCCUUAUAGACCAUUUAACCACCACAGGUUCUAAUAUUAUCUGAGUGCUUUCAAAAAAGUGCUCAAAUUCCCCAGUUUCCUAGUUCGGGAGGCUUGGUUUACACAAUGACCUGGGUUUCAGGAGGAGUCAGUGGUGCAAAUAUCAUUGAAGGUCAUAAAGAUAUGUUGGGAACCAAGGCCCUGGCCCACUUCAGUUCUCCCCUGGGAUUUCCGCCUGAUCCUUGCUCUAAUGUUGACCCAUGGCCAUUGCCCAAAUAGAGGGAGCAGAAAGCAGGCUGGAGUUUGAUUUUCCCAGUUGAUUCGGUCACAGUUUUGCCGGUAAUAAUGUUGCUGUUUUCCCUGGGCUGUGACUGUUGCAGGCGAGUCAGAAGGAGCAGGGCUCUCGCCCUCCCGUGGAUCAAUGGUAUCGAUCCUCAGGGCUCCGUGUCAUUUCCAGGGGAUUUGCUAAAGAAGCUACUUAUGUUCCUUUUUCAUUUUCACCAACUCAUUACCAGCUGCUGCAGCCUUCGAGCGUCGCGGCAACACCUGGAGGAGUGGAACAUGACCGUCGGAUUUGAGUGCAGACACCUUCCUUCGAAAUUAAACACAGGACAACGUGUGCGACUCACCCAAACCUGAGCCGAAUGAGGAAGUCAGGUCACACUGGCCCACAGGGGUUUGGUAUUUUUUUGUUUUGUUUUAAAAAGGGCAGCCUGGCCCUACACUAAGCAAUUGAUCCCCUGGCUUAACUUUUAAAUUAAGACCAUUGUAAAUUUGGGAACUUGAGAAGACAUAGAGAGGACACCCAUAAUACUUUGCAAAUGUCAAGUGCCUCUCGAUGUUGGUUACUUUUCAAAGGUAGCUAGGUUACAAUGUACCCUGGUAAUGAAAAAACCCCGUCAGGCCCACUCCACGGGGUUUCAGUCAAUAUACAUAAUAUUAUUGGGCUUUGCAAGGAUUAAAGGUUGUUUCUCUCACAGCCUCACAAUAGGGCUAUUUUUUCCCCUCUACUGAAGGCAUAAAAGAAGUCUCCCUGUUUACAGAGGAGCCCAAGACAUUUUGGGGCCCCAGUGAUGGUCCAGACUUCCCACUGCAUACUUCCCCCUGCUGGUGGCUUUAUAGCCAACCUUAAAAAAAAAAUCUAAUUCUUUUAAUAUAUACAUGAUAAGACUUAAAAAAGUUGAUUAGUGUUUUAUAUUGUCCACAAGCUAUUUCUGGAGUAUAAAAGUUAUGGUUUCUUCCAAUUUUAUUCUGAGAAAGAAAGCUUUCAUAUCAUACUGUCCUUCCCAACCAGCCCGGAUGGUAUUUGGACUACUCCAUAUUUGGUGCAGUUUUGAAACUGCCCACCCUGUGGAAUGGGAUUCCCAGAAUGCAGCAAGAUACGUGGUGUGACCGCAUUCAGGUUCAUACACAUUAGGAGGCUAGAGAUAGCACAACAGAAAUUCUGUAGUGUGUAUGUCAUAUGUCAUAGAACCAUACCUAAACAGGAAAGAAAAUACUCAGUAUGCUUUGGCCUGCACAAUUAAAAGGAAUUUCCAUCUUAAAACCAGAGAUGUGGUUAUUUGGCCCAAGAAACAUGAAAGUAUGGGGAAUAAUCUUGAGCUGCUGAAGAGAUGACCCAAUGAACUCUUUCCCACAUCUCUACGACACACAGAGCUUUCUCAGAACUGGUUUGAUUUUUUAAAAGAAAAAAAAAUGGUAGGGAAUCCCUGCAAAAGUUACCGUUUUAAAGUGUCUAAUUCAGUGGAAUUAAGAACAUUCACAAUGUUGCGCUACUAUCACUGUCCAAAUCCAGAGUGUUUUUAUGACCCCAAACAGAAACCUCAUGCCAAUUAGGAGUCACUGCCCCAUUUCCUUCCCUCCCUCCUCUUCACCCCAGCUUCUCAAACCACAUCUGCCAUUUUGCAUCUAUGGAUUUGCCUAGUCUGGAUAUUUCAUAUAAAUGUGGCCCUUUGUGUCUGGCUUCUUUUACUUAACAUGAUGUCUUCAAGGUUCGUGCAUGCUGUAGCAUCUGUCAGAAGUUAUUGCUUUUUAUGGCUGCCCCUGCCAUAGAAUCUAAGUUAAUGAGAGUUGAAGGCUGCUUCCUCCAGGCAGUGGGGUCCCAGAAAAUAGGCAAGAUUUCUUUUUGAAAAUAGGUUUUGGGGAAAGCUAGGUGAAGUAUAAGUCAAUUAAAAAAACAAAAGAUAGGUUUUUUUUUCCAUUGAUAAAUGCUCUUGGUAUACAGGCCUUCUCAGAGUGUGUAAUAUAACAGAGUAUGCUCUAACCCUCCAAGAGGCCACGAAUAGUAUGGAUGCAGUAUUUUCUAAAAUUCUUUGACUAUGGAAUCUUUUAGUGCUGCUGUGUUCAUUUUGUAGACAUCCAAUCAAGAGGGCUAGUGGGAGCUCAAAUGUAUGUUUCUUGCCCUCUGCUUGCCAAGCCAAGAAUCUGUGGGGUUAUAUUCACUGAGAAGGGUUAUAAUUAUUUUUACUUACUUAUUUAUUUUUUAUUUUUUUCUGGCAAGAAUGGUUUCAAUUUCUCAAUCUUCACAUGGAUUCUCUGUAGGACUUUUUGGUGGAACACUGGGGGUGGAUGUGUGUGUGUGUGUGUGUGUGUGUGUGUGUUGGGGAGAGGUGUGCUCAGGGGACAGCAGUGUUCUACGUAACUGCAGGAUUACCUUUCUGGAGCACUGUUAUAGGAUCAAGGGAACCCAGGGGCAGAUCCCUGUGGACACAGCCUCAUGGAAUUCAUUAGGGAUGAAUAUUUUUGGAAAGCACAGCAGAGCCCUAUUGUAAUAGAGCUACCAUAUUUGAAUUUCUGCAUUUGACUUGUUUCCGACCUCCCUAGAAUAUCUAGCUUGAAUAUAAGCUUUCCUCCUUGGUCAGGAGUUGAGGGGAAGGCUUGGCAAGGUCAGGAUACAGUUUUUGGAAAACAGAGACAGGGGAUGGACCUGAUGAAUUUCAAAGGAUGGAGUAAUACUCUCUAAAGCCCCAAGAACUCAGACAGGGAGUCAUCUGUAGGAUGUGGGGUUAGGAUCCCUCAGGGAAAAACUGAGCUAGAUAUUAAACUGGACACACCUAUGAACUCUCAUCUUGGUGCUUUCUCUGCUCAGAGGUCAGUGAUAUUCAAAAUGAAAAGAAUAUCAGAGCACUAAGGGAUUAUGAGAUUUCUUCUGAAUCAACUCAGGAUGAUUAAAUUAUUUUUAUAUUGUCUUAGUUUUGUUUUUAUAUUCAGGUUCUCUGAAAACUCUUACUCCAUUUGAGAUACUCCUUAGAGGAAAAUUUGGCUAAUCAUAACAUCCCAAUCUAUGGCCAUGAUCAUAAUGGCAAACAGGGUUUACUACAUAAAUAUCCUUCUAGAAUUACAAAAUUGGUAGCCUAUUAUGAUUGCACUAAAUAAAAGCAAUUCUAUACACUGGGCUUCUGUAUCAUGCUUUGUAAAUGUAUAUAUAUGUAUAUGUAUGUGUGUGUGUGAGACACACACAGACACACACACAUAUACUCUGGAUUUAGACAGUGAUAGUAGCACAACACUGUGAAUGUUCUUAAUGCCACUGAAUUAGACACUUUAAAAUGGUAACUUUUACAGGUAUUUUCUA
Molecule: long non-coding RNA, 5179 nt
Filed under: Marmota monax (woodchuck)
Lineage: Eukaryota; Metazoa; Chordata; Mammalia; Rodentia; Sciuridae
Source: RNAcentral